AUUGAACGCUGGCGGCAGGCUUAACACAUGCAAGUCGAACGAUGAAGUCUAGCUUGCUAGACGGAUUAGUGGCGAACGGGUGAGUAAUGCUUAGGAAUCUGCCUAUUAGUGGGGGAUAACGUAGGGAAACUUACGCUAAUACCGCAUACGACCUACGGGUGAAAGGGGGCGUUUAGCUCUCGCUAAUAGAUGAGCCUAAGUCGGAUUAGCUAGUUGGUGGGGUAAAGGCCUACCAAGGCGACGAUCUGUAGCUGGUCUGAGAGGAUGAUCAGCCACACUGGGACUGAGACACGGCCCAGACUCCUACGGGAGGCAGCAGUGGGGAAUAUUGGACAAUGGGCGAAAGCCUGAUCCAGCCAUGCCGCGUGUGUGAAGAAGGCCUUUUGGUUGUAAAGCACUUUAAGUGGGGAGGAAAAGCUUAUGGUUAAUACCCAUAAGCCCUGACGUUACCCACAGAAUAAGCACCGGCUAACUCUGUGCCAGCAGCCGCGGUAAUACAGAGGGUGCAAGCGUUAAUCGGAAUUACUGGGCGUAAAGCGCGCGUAGGUGGUUAUUUAAGUCAGAUGUGAAAGCCCCGGGCUUAACCUGGGAACUGCAUCUGAUACUGGAUAACUAGAGUAGGUGAGAGGGGAGUAGAAUUCCAGGUGUAGCGGUGAAAUGCGUAGAGAUCUGGAGGAACACCGAUGGCGAAGGCAGCUCCCUGGCAUCAUACUGACACUGAGGUGCGAAAGCGUGGGUAGCAAACAGG
This 748-nucleotide ribosomal RNA is filed under the name uncultured Moraxella sp. RNAcentral describes it as "bacterial SSU rRNA". It matches the Rfam family "Bacterial small subunit ribosomal RNA", at positions 28 to 776 of the family's 1533-position model. The record is from RNAcentral. Lineage: Bacteria; Pseudomonadati; Pseudomonadota; Gammaproteobacteria; Moraxellales; Moraxellaceae.